GGCGAAUCAGCUCCAUACAAAUGAAACCGAUGAACAUUGUAUGGAGC
Molecule: non-coding RNA, 47 nt
Filed under: unclassified sequences
Description: uup RNA
Rfam family: uup RNA
Source: RNAcentral